AUGGAGGUGCAUAGUGUUGAAUGCUUUAAAAAUGUUUUUCCUCCAGAGUCAGAAACACUGAACAACUAUACUUUCACCUCUUUUCAUCACGUUCUAUUUCAUACAUUGCUUCAAUUAAUCUCUGGAUUUUCAUGGGUUAGCAUUUAUUGCUAUGGCACUGACUUCUUUGUAGUUUACCUCCUUCUACAGCAGCGGUGGCAGGCACAACACAGUGGUUUCUUCUUGGCAUCAAUUCAAAAGAAGCUCAAAAACAAACAAACAAAAGAAAAUAAUACUAGUUCUGUGACUGAAGUCAGGAGAUUAAGGGAGACUGGACAACUCGUCUCUGAAGAAACUUCAGGGAGCUUUAUUUUUGGCAGCUGGACGGUUGUUCCAACAGUGCUGUGCAGCAUGCUGGGUGGAGGAGGCUAUUGCCUGAUGUGACACCUGAUCUUUGUCUUCCUCAGCAGGAUAGAAGUUUUCUCAGAUGUUUGUGCUGAGUUUACACCGUUAUGCCAUGUCAGUGCUUGGCUGUGGAUCAGAGAACACUGAUCAUUCAGGAGGGAGGUUGCCAACCUGGCAGGUAGCAGGUAGGCAGUGUGCUCCCAUUGCUUACUCUGUGUAGCUUUCUCACCUCUUGUCUUUCAACAAAACAUAAAUCCUUGCUGAGUUAAUGAUGUCAUUUUCUCAGAAUACUAUGAGAUAACACAUUAUCUGG
RNAcentral lists this long non-coding RNA (697 nucleotides) under Numida meleagris (helmeted guineafowl). Its description in RNAcentral is "lncRNA (ENSNMEG00000001683.1)". Lineage: Eukaryota; Metazoa; Chordata; Aves; Galliformes; Numididae. The record is from RNAcentral.